AGGGGUAUAGCUUAGUGCUAGAGCAAUUGCCUAGCAAGCAUGAUGCCCUGGUUCAAUACCCAGUACCUCCA
Molecule: transfer RNA, 71 nt
Filed under: Neotoma lepida (desert woodrat)
Lineage: Eukaryota; Metazoa; Chordata; Mammalia; Rodentia; Cricetidae
Rfam family: tRNA
About the family: Transfer RNA (tRNA) molecules are approximately 80 nucleotides in length. Their secondary structure includes four short double-helical elements and three loops (D, anti-codon, and T loops). Further hydrogen bonds mediate the characteristic L-shaped molecular structure. tRNAs have two regions of fundamental functional importance: the anti-codon, which is responsible for specific mRNA codon recognition, and the 3' end, to which the tRNAs corresponding amino acid is attached (by aminoacyl-tRNA synthetases). tRNAs cope with the degeneracy of the genetic code in two manners: having more than one tRNA (with a specific anti-codon) for a particular amino acid; and 'wobble' base-pairing, i.e. permitting non-standard base-pairing at the 3rd anti-codon position.
Source: Rfam by way of RNAcentral